Molecule: non-coding RNA, 5269 nt
Organism: Agelaius phoeniceus (red-winged blackbird)
Lineage: Eukaryota; Metazoa; Chordata; Aves; Passeriformes; Icteridae
Source: RefSeq, a predicted model, not a curated record
AAAUGUGAAAAGUGCGUAUUUUGUGAUUGUCUUUUCUCAAAUAUUAAAAUGAAUAUUAUAUGUGUUGUGUUAGAAAGUAAUGCUGUAUUCUCUUAAGUAGUGUGUUAAAUAUAGUUUUAGGUUAUAACAAAAUGUUAAAGUAGAAACUAUGCUAUGUAGGAGACUUUUUUUAAAGAAAGGACUCACAGCGAGAUAGCAGUCACAGGACACCUAAAUCUUUCAGAGAAAAAGAAUUUAUUGCCCUCUUAUCAGAAGAAACGAACUUCUUCCUGCCUUGAAGGCGCUGUUAGGAUUCAGAGGAAGAAGUUGAUGAUGACCAGACAGAAUCCUGUGUUUGAAUGGAAUUUAUGCAUCAUGUAUGAAGUGUAUGACUAUGCAACAGGCUAUUGCUUUUAAGGGUUAAUCCUUUGUUAAUGGGGGUCCUUUUUCAGGCCCGUGCUGCCCGGAAAAAGGUACCCGGACGUCCGUAACUCUUUGUCUCUAUUGUCUCAUAUUUAAUUAUAUUUGUCCAAAUUAUUAUUACUCUAAUUGUAUUACUAUUUUUAUAACCAUUUAAUUACUGUUAAACUUUUAAAAUUUUAAAAACAAGCGAUUGGCGUUUUUCACAGGAUCAAUCCUGCUUCCUUUUCACUGAAUUGUUGUAAUGAGUCAUCAGCUUUUAGCCAGCCUCAGUUCAGUUUCUUUUUCACGAAUUUUUUUGGUUGUUUUGAUCCUGAACUUGCCAAACCCUUAAGUUUGCUAAAUUAACCCUGAGAAGGUUCUACAAGCCAAUGCUGAGGGGAUUGGAUAGUUAGGAUCUUACGGCCCUUCAAGGGUUGGGUUCACCCCCUGAUUUUGGUGCCAAGGGAAACUCCAAGUUAACACGGAUCAAAAUAGGAAACAGUUCCCUCAUCAAAGUCAGCUUUCCAAACCUCUGUUCAGGAUCCAAAAGAAAUGGGAAUGCCCUUGGCAAAAAAGGUGCUUUUGAGACAAAGUAAGCCUAAAAUGCCUGUAAGCAGGAAAUCCAGGAGAAAUGGCUGCUGGCAUCCUGGGCUUGCCAGGCAGGUUUUGUACUUGAUUGCAAGGCAGUUUUCCUGCCUCUGCAUGGGGUGGCACCUGCAUCCCACUGGAAAGGGGAGGGAAAUAAUUCCCCUCCUUCCCUGGCCCAGCCCUGGAGUGGGAGCAGCUUGCCCUUAUCCUGGAGUUAUCCUGCUCCUGCCCAGCAUCCCUCUGGUACCCUCAUGUGCUUCCCAAGCUCCCAGCACUGAUGGAUCUAAACAUGGAGAACAAUCCCUGUUCGUUCUCUUCUCCAUCCUUGAUGUUCGUGGGCCCUGCAUCUCCCUGGCUAUUCCCUGUCUGACUCCUCAUCUCCAUCCCACCUUCUCCUGGUCACAUCUGAGCCUGAGAUGCGUUUAGCAGCAAAUCCAUUCCUUUAAAGGAAGCCCAGUGCAAAGAGCAACCAGCUGCAGGACAGGGAGAACCACUGAACUUGUCCUGGCCUUGCCAAGGUGUUUGAGCUGCCAAAUCCAAACUGGUCCUGAUGAUGGAGGACUUAAGAAAUUACUCAAUCCAACUAAAUGCUUUAAAAAGGGAGAUGGUUUGGUUAUAAAAAUAUUUCUGCCUGAGACUGGGAAGAGAUUGGGAAGAGUUAAACCCCCCAAUUUUGCAUAACAGCACAAGGAUUUUUUAAUUCUUUGCCUUUUUUUCCCUUCCUUUGAAUGGGUUUGUUUGUUUCCCCUUGGAAACUGCACACACAAUAGGCAGAUUUUUCAAUUUAGCCAUUUUUUCCCACUUUUAGUCUUCAAUGGAGCCCAGGUGCCAAUUGUUUUCUGCUUGGUUUCUGCCUUCCCUUUCCUGCCUACAGCUUAACCCCUUUCUCUCCUUCCUGCUUUUUGGCCAUCACUGGUCAUGCAGAUGAUGCUGAUGCAGAUGGCUGAUAAAUGGCUGAUAAAUAAUUAUCAAACAGCUUGGGAAUAGUCUGUAUCAGGUAUCAGUAACAUUAAAAAUGCAGUAUAUGGACCAUCAACCAAUGAAUUUAGCAACAGUUGGAUAGUAACUAAUCAUCUUUCCUUUGAAGCCCUCUUCAUGGCAUAUUUACUUGUAAAGGGAAAGCGUUUGGUUUUUAUUUUAAAAAAUACUACAAAUCACCAACAGCCAGCUUAAGUGAGCAUGGAAGACUGACAAAGACAUUGUAAUGUUUUUUCUUUUAAAUCCCUCACAACCCCAUCACGUACUGGGGAGGCAGCUCAGUGAGUUUCAGCCCACAGCUGCCAUCCUGUGCUCGUGGAGAGCAACCUCUCCAGCUGUCCCAGCCUCAGGAAAGCACAGAAGAGGGCUUUACACAGAUCAGGGAUUAAGCUAGACCCAGGUUGGGCUCAGCUCAGUCACCAUGGCACUGUUAGAAGCCUUAAACCCUUUUUCUAUCAGAUUGAUUGUGGUUGUGGUGCAGCCACUGUGUUGCUGUCAAUGUGCUCCCCUGCAGCCUAGCCUGACAUGGUGAGCAGGGGCUUGGGGUUCUGCCUCAUGUGUUAAACAUCAAACCAGAAGAUAAAACAACAGAUAAAACCCCUGCCCUCCCAUGUGCAUCAUUCUGCACCACUGCUAUGAGAGGAGGGUGAAAGACCCAGUCAGUUUUAGUUCUGUAAAGAAGCUCCAGAGCAGUGAUGAGUGCCUGAAUCACAUCCCCUGCAGCCAUCAGGGGAGUGAGGGCAGGGAAGAGGGCAGAGAAAGGGAAAUAAAAAAACAACAGAGCCACCAAAACUGGAGGAUGUGAGGAUAAAUCCAAAACUAUGCUCUCCAAGAACUGAAAGAACACAUUUCUUAAAACACGACAUCCAAACUGGAAUGAGGGACUUGCACUCUUUCCAGAUCUUCCCAGCACCAUAACCCAUUAAAAAAAAAAAAAAAAGCCAUCUGGUGAAAUGGGAUGCUCCUUUAAACCUUGCAGAGACUUUCUCCAGCACCACAAACCACCCUUCCUGUUGCUCUUCCUUUACCACUCAGGGCUGAGCCAUGAAGACCUGCUUCUUUAGUGUGUGUGUGUAUAUUUCAGGGUUUUUUUUUUAAACCAAGAAAAAAAUCAAUAUCAUAUUUUUAAAAGAACCCCCAGAGCUUUGGGGAAAGUGGGCAUAAAUGUCAAACAAAACACAAAGAAAGACUGAGCUACUAAGGGAUCUUAGAGCAGCAGUGGUGGGGUGGGAGGGAAGAAAUAUAGCAGACAAAUUUAACACCAUUUAGGAGGGUUUAUAGACAAUGUUUUCAUUGCAAGCAGCAUUUAGAAGUGACAAUUUAGUGAUUUAUCAUAUCCCAGCACACUCCUUCCCUGUCAAAGUGAUAGGCAGAACCAGCAGAGCAGCUCUGAACACACUGUUCACUACAAGGCACCACCAACAAACCCAGAACAGCUCCACCCUUGCCCAACCCUGUCCCCUUGGGCCUUCUGAGAAGCUGGGAUUUAGGAGAAGGCCAUGCAGGGGAGCAGUGUUUCAAAUAUCAAAGGAUUUAAAAAUAUACAGGGCUAUGAAAGCCAAUGGGACCUGAAAGAAUUGAAGGAGAAGGUGUCUUAGCAGAGCAUCUUUAGCCAGUGCAGCCAGAUAACCCUCGGAUAUCAUUACUGGAGCAUCUGGGAGUGAAGCCCAGCAGGAGAUGUUGCAACAUGAACUCCUGCCCAACAUGAGAGGUUCCCAGGGACCAAAAACUCCGUGCAGAGCAGACAGGAUCUGACCACAACACCUGCCUUGGGCAAAACCUGCUCUUCAUUUCUCACGAGCCACAGAGAAACCUGGUGUAUUUAUGAUCACUUCUCUCACCAGACCUGGUUGCAAUCAGCACUGGAUCCCAAAACUGAAGGAGAAGCCUUGCGUAGACAAUUCCUCCUUCAAGGCUCAGCUCUAGUACCAGGCUUAAGACCUGGCAUGCGCAUGCAUUUGGCAGGGAGUAGCAAAUCAAGUGAAAGAACAUUUCAGGGUUUUUUUCAGCUGAUUGUUUAGGAAUUUACUUGGAAUAAGCUUCCUCCCCAAGAGGGAUUUCAAUUCUACACAUGCACAAAGAGGAGAAAACAUUAAUGCAGCAUUGAGACAGCUCCGUGGUGAGAGCAGUGGUUUUAAGGUUAAGGCCCUUGUAUAUCUGGGAGGGUGAAACCUCUGUGUUCAACCCUCUGGGAUCAUCACUUGGGCUUCCUGUGCUUCUCAAGCUCUCAAAGUAAAAUUGACCCACAAAACUCAUCUUUGUCUCAAUCCUAAUCCCUGCAUCAUCCUUCGGGUGUAUUUCCUCACAAUUAAAUUAGAGUAGGAAAUGCUUUGCAGCCCCUUCUUCCCCAAAGGCCCAAUCUGCUUUAAUGCAGGGAUUAGGAAUGCUCUUCAAGCCCAAGGUUUGGAUGCAGCCAGUGAGACUCACAUUUCAGAGGGACCAUCAAUGGUCUGAUAAAUACACAGCACUUUGAAGCAGGCUGCUGGGACUGAGGAGGGUAUUUGAAGCCUGUUGAAAUGCACUUCUAGCAGAAGUGCAAAAUGAAAUGUAAUGUAGUAGCACUGGAAAAUGAAAUGCUGUUAGACAAGGCUGCUCCCCAGAUUGGCUCUGCCUGGAUCCACCUGCCCUGCAGCACAGCCUUCUCCCUUUCUCCUCACUGCCCUCUGCUCAGCACCAACCCAAAGCUGGGCUAUUUCAAUUCCUGUCAGACACAGAGCAGCUGAUGGGCAGCAAAUGCAGCCUUCCCAAAGUGGCUGCCCAUGACCCGGCCUGCAGGGCAGAGCUCAGGGAGGAGGUGGCAGCUUCCUCAGUGGCUUUUCAUGUCCUCUCUCUGCCGUGCAGACACUGGCAUGCAUGGCACAGCUCUGUUUUGGCAGCCGGUCCCUUGGCAGGGUUGUGUGAGCACAGGGUGAGCACAGGAUGAACUCUCUCCUUGCUGUGACAGGGCUGACACAGUGACCUCGGCCAGCUGAUGCUGCCUGUGCCAUCACCUGGCACUGAUGUGUUUGAUGAAAAUCCUUUUGCUGGGAUUUUUCUCCUGAGAAGCCUCAGAACAGAAAUGGAACCAAUAACGAUCUGCUGGCUGUGGAGUGUGGGCUGGAGAUGGUUUAGCAACAGGGGCAUCUUGGAUUAGUCUCCUGUGCAGUUUCUACUUGAUGACCAGUCAUGGUCCAGCUGUGUCGGGGCUGUGAGCAGUCCCAGAUUUUUAUUUUUCAUUCCUUUCCAGCUUUCUGAUGUCUCCUUGCUCUUUUAGUAUAGUUCUAAUAUCUCAUUUUCUUUUAAUAUAAUAGAGAUCAUAAAAUAAUAUUUCAGCCUUCUGAAA